ACGGAGGAUCCAAGCGUUAUCCGGAUUCAUUGGGUUUAAAGGGUGCGCAGGCGGACUGAUAAGUCAGUGGUGAAAUCUCUCGGCUCAACUGAGAAACUGCCAUUGAUACUGUCGUUCUUGAGUACACUUGGAGUGGGCGGAAUGUGUCAUGUAGCGGUGAAAUGCUUAGAUAUGACACAGAACACCGAUCGCGAAGGCAGCUCACUAAGUUGUAACUGACGCUCAGGCACGAAAGCGUGGGGAUCAAACAGGAUUAGAUACCCUGGUAGUCCACGCCGUAAACGAUGAUCACUCGAUGUUGGCGAUAUACUGUCAGCGUCUAAGCGAAAGCAUUAAGUGAUCCACCUGGGGAGUACGAUCGCAAGAUUG
RNAcentral lists this ribosomal RNA (369 nucleotides) under uncultured bacterium. RNAcentral's name for it is "bacterial SSU rRNA". It matches the Rfam family "Bacterial small subunit ribosomal RNA", at positions 525 to 896 of the family's 1533-position model. The record is from RNAcentral.